GGCGCUCUAGGCUGUGGCUCUCAGCGACUACGGAGGCCAAGAUGGUGUUUUGCUCUGUCAUCCAGGCUGGAGUGCAAUGGCACAAUCUCAGCUCACUGCAACAUCUGCCUCCCAGGUUCAAGCCAUUGUCCUGCCUCAGGAGGAGAUUCUACUGUCUCAGCCUCCCGAGUAGCUGAAACUACAGGUCUUUAGAUAAUAACUCUUUCAACUGAUUGCCAAUCAGAAUAUCUUUGAAGCCACCUAUGACCUGGAAGCCCCCACCUUCCCCUUUUCUGGAACGAACCAGUGUACAACUUAUGCUUAUUGAUUGGUGUCUGUAUGUAACUUCUGUCCCCCUAAAAUACAUAAAAUCAAGCUGUGACCCAACUACCUUGGACACAUGUUCUCAGGACCUUCCAAGGCUGUGUCAUGGGUCGUGGUCCUCACAUUUGGCUCAGAAUAAAUCUCUUCAAAUA
This 455-nucleotide long non-coding RNA is filed under the name Homo sapiens (human). RNAcentral describes it as "F10 antisense RNA 1 (F10-AS1)". Lineage: Eukaryota; Metazoa; Chordata; Mammalia; Primates; Hominidae. The record is from RNAcentral.